GUGCAUGGUAGAAACUCUCCCACUGCUCUUAGAUGUAAUGAAUAAUCUCCUGGUUUCCACACGUGAGUUUGAGUUGCACACUCCUUAAGCAAAGAAUUACUUUCCUUAAUUAGAACCAAUUCGGAUGUAGUGUAGAUAGUCUGACUUGUAACUGGCAUAUCUCCUAAACCAUUACUCUUUUUGGUAUGAAACCAAUUCGCUGCGUGCUCUGGUUGAGUUGAGAAUCUAUAGAAACUGGUUUCACGGUUAAAUUCCUUAUGGUUGCAAAGAUAUCCUUCUUUGAGUGCACCUAUGUCGCUGCUGGCUCCAAUGUAGCUUGUAUGGUUGAUCUCAUGAGUUGG
This 341-nucleotide long non-coding RNA is filed under the name Brassica rapa (field mustard). RNAcentral describes it as "long non-coding RNA (BRAP_LNC008072)". The record is from RNAcentral. Lineage: Eukaryota; Viridiplantae; Streptophyta; Magnoliopsida; Brassicales; Brassicaceae.